Non-coding RNA from Poecilia reticulata (guppy), 2963 nucleotides. NCBI's taxonomy places the organism in Eukaryota, Metazoa, Chordata, Actinopteri, Cyprinodontiformes, Poeciliidae. The record is from RefSeq and is a predicted model, not a curated record.
UGAGAUUAAGUUUUUGGAAUCUAUUGAAGGGUGUGUGUUUCUUCAAAACACAUUUCAAACACUCUCAAGCGCAUGAGGCAACUUCAGCAUGUCGACACGUUCUGCAAAUCCAGUCAGCAAGAGGCUGAACUCUUGAUUAAGCAGGAGAGAAGCAGUUCAGUGAUUUCCCAGAUUCGCUCUGAAACAAGAUCUCACAGACUGACACAGAGAGCAACAGUCUCCUUCAAUAACAGGAAUCCUGACUGGGAGCAUUCCUGUCACACAACGUUAGCACCAUUUGCUUAUUGGAGCAAACAAUGGUUUCUGUCAAUUUCAUUUUCAUAAGCUGGAUGAUUAUAGAGCUUAUCCUCUGCAUCCAGUCCAACAUGUUGCUUUCCCACAUCCAGAGUGAUGCGUGAGACUUUAUCAGAGGAGCUGCCUGAUUCUUUUAAACUCUGCUGCAGAUGGACUUUUAACACAAACUGUUUACUGCUGCAGUGACAGAUGAAUUAAUGUAAUGCAAUCACAGAGGAGUUUGAGUGGCAUUUUUCAAAGGCGGAAACUAUGUGAAAAAAAUCUCCCUGCUGAACCUUAAGCACCACUGGUGCCUCUGUUCACACGACGAACCACCCUUGCAGGUUUUGCCUUACAGCUGAUGAGCCUUGGUUCAGUUCAGACCUGCUCUGGUUGCUCGCUGCUGCAGCAGAAAAUCUUCCUUGCUGUGUCAUUUUUACAUGAUUGCUGACUCUUCGUUACAAUCUCGGUGACUCUAGCUAAAACAAAAAAGAGUGCACGUGGUGCCUAAAAUAAGUGUUGAACAAGUACAUUUUUUUUCACUUUAAUUAUUUCAAAUGGAGUCAUGGAUAUGAGAUUCACAGCAGAUGCAACAACCCAACAAAUCUACACAUGCAAAAAUUUAAAUAAAAGCAAAUUACUGUGUGAAGAGGAAAAUAAACGUGGAAGUGAAAUUUAGAAAGUGUUCCUGCUACUGCGUUCAAAUCAAUAUAUUGUUUAAUAUUAACUGAUAGCCCAUAAAAACGUUUCUCAUUACAAAAGAAUGUUACAGAGUGGACCUUCAUAAAAACUCCCGCUGAUGCAAAACUUUGCUAUGGCAACGGUGGUAGCUGCAAUGUCCAGGCAAGUGCCACUGGAGUCAUAAUAAUCCAGAACUGAAAAGAAUAAAAUUUCACUGUAAACCAGCUGCAAGCAGGUGCUCCUCUCAAGAGGUUUGAUGGAGAAGUUAAAAAAAUAAUCAAAAGUUAUUUUUCCCAGAGCCAAGAAGCACUUGGAGCUUCAGCAAGACCUUGGAAGUCAGAUAUAGUUUCUGCCAUGAAGAUACUGAGCAACACACUCAACCACAAUGGCCUUGUUCUCAACAAGGUUUUGUUGAAACUUUUCGAAAUCGAUCCCGGGAAUGUAAUAUACACCAAUAUCACAACACAGCUGGAAACAUGACCCUAAAGGAGGAGGAAAGAGGGGGCAGUUUGCAGCAGGAGGCCGUCGAAUGAAAUGAAGGAAACGGGAAGGAAAUGACAAAUGUUUGCUCCAUGAGACUGCAAACUGCCGUUCUCUCUUCACCGUCCUGUGUGGAAACUUCAGCUCACAAAUGCAUACUUCCACGCUCUGUUGUUGUCAACGUAAAAAAAAAAAAAAAAAAGAAAUAAACAGACUGAGGUAAUGAUUGGAUGAUACUAAGAUUUUGAUGUUAGGACAAAAAGACAGAAGCUAUAUGAAGAGAGGAAGAGGAACUGAAAGACAGAUUGAAAUAAAAGAGAGACUGAGGAACAGACAGAGUUUUCCUCAUUCCUGCAUAAAGGAAGAUAAACAGAUGGUCCCAAUGUUUGAUUCAGGUGUAAAUGCUUCUCAUGUGCCUAUGAUUGGCAGCACCUCAUUCAGGACUCCUACAGCAUGGAAACCACAGUGCAUAUGCUUUAAGCCUUGCCUGAAUUAGUCUACACUGAUUCUUCAAAGGAUGUUUUUACACCUUACAGUAAAGGGAGACAGAUGAUUUAAACUGACAUCCAGCAGCAGAGAUAAACAAUGCUAAAGGCUGAGGAUACUGGAAACGUGGAGAAUGGACCAGAGAGAAGCAGCAGCAAUUGCCUGACAAGAACAUGACUCCAAACUGACAGUGCAGUUUCUUUUAAAGAGGCCACGGUGGAACACAUCUUCCACACGAAGUUCAUUCCCACAUUGACUACAGUGUGUUGCACGUGAUGGCAUGGUUACACUAAAAAUCACCUUCAGCAGCGGUUUCCAUCAUGGAGGACUGUGAUGAUUACAAACUUUUGAACCACAAAUUACAGAGUUGUGUAUCCAAAUCCUCAUCAUCUGCAUUUAUUUCUGAGGAAAGGUCACCACACCUCCACGCUGUGACUCAACCCCUCUGACGUCUCUCGCGCUUCGGGUGAAAUCGGAGCUGGGAACACUCACGGACAGCCCGUGUGCCUUCCCAGGUCCUCUCAUGUAUUAUGGACAACAAGAUUUAAUGGUUUAAAAUUAAACUGUGUGGCUGCCUGGCAGUAGUGCUGAUGUAGAACAGUGAUCGCCUGUGGCUUUGUUCAGUGAGCGGUUAAUUAGAAAGCUCCACUCUUGUGCCUCUGUCAGGUCAGAGUCUGACUGUCAGGUCUAUUUACUGUUUGUCUGUGGGAAAACUGAGUGUACUUACACUAUAUUCAGAGCCACUUCCUCUGAAAAUUAUAGUGUUGUUACCUUUGAUAAAUGGUUUCCAUGUGUUGACACAGCAGCCAGCAGGAACGCAGAUAUAAUCGUAAAUAUGACCUCUGUAGUGUGAACAUUUAUCUUUAUGCACAUGCCCUUUCUUCUUUCUUUUUUAUGAGCAUGGUAGUGUGAUUUAAUGUUGAUUUCUAUGAGAUAGCUAUAACACACAGCAGGUCUAUUUUUUAAAGAAUAUUGCAGCAUUCAAGAUUCAACAUAUGUUUAAAGCUGAAUUAAAGUUUCCCAUUUAAAACAACUGACUUGUG